UACAGAGGCCUCGAGCGUUAAUCGGAGUCACUGGGCUUAAAGGGUGCGUAGGCGGCCCUGUAAGUCAGUGCUGAAAUAUCCCAGCUUAACUGGGAGGGUGGCAUUGAUACUGCGGGGCUAGAGUACAGAUGAGGUAGGCGGAAUUGACGGUGUAGCGGUGAAAUGCUUAGAUAUCGUCAAGAACACCUAUAGCGAAGGCAGCUUACUAGGCUGUAACUGACGCUGAGGCACGAAAGUGUGGGGAUCAAACAGG
RNAcentral lists this ribosomal RNA (253 nucleotides) under uncultured bacterium. RNAcentral's name for it is "partial 16S ribosomal RNA". It matches the Rfam family "Bacterial small subunit ribosomal RNA", at positions 524 to 776 of the family's 1533-position model. The record is from RNAcentral.